AACGAACGCUGGCGGCAUGCCUAACACAUGCAAGUCGAACGAGACCUUCGGGUCUAGUGGCGCACGGGUGCGUAACGCGUGGGAACCUGCCCUUAGGUUCGGAAUAACUCCCCGAAAGGGGUGCUAAUACCGGAUAAUGUCUUCGGACCAAAGAUUUAUCGCCUUUGGAUGGGCCCGCGUUGGAUUAGCUAGUUGGUAGGGUAAAAGCCUACCAAGGCGACGAUCCAUAGCUGGUCUGAGAGGAUGAUCAGCCACACUGGGACUGAGACACGGCCCAGACCCCUACGGGGGGCAGCAGGGGGGAAUUUGGGAAAAGGGGCGAAAGCCUGAUCCAGCAAUGCCGGGGGGGUGAGGAAGGCUUUAGGGUUUUAAAGCUCCUUUACCCGGGAUGAAAAUGACAGUACCGGGGAAAAAAGCCCCGGCUAACCCCGU
Molecule: ribosomal RNA, 432 nt
Filed under: uncultured bacterium
Lineage: Bacteria
Description: partial 16S ribosomal RNA
Rfam family: Bacterial small subunit ribosomal RNA
Source: RNAcentral